Non-coding RNA from Myodes glareolus (Bank vole), 2055 nucleotides. The record is from RefSeq and is a predicted model, not a curated record. Lineage: Eukaryota; Metazoa; Chordata; Mammalia; Rodentia; Cricetidae.
GAACGACAACCUGAGCUGCCUGCUCUCAGCAGGACCCCCAGGAAGAGCAGCUGUCCCCCGCAGAAAAACAACUUCUCACAGCGGGCGAGAGGAACCGAGGGCAGAGAACGGUCGACAAGCCAACAGUAAAGAAGGAGAGGGGUUGUGCGCCAUCACAAAACUGAAGGGAGCCACUGUGCGAGCUAGAGGCAGAACGAUCACAACACAGAAAAGACUAUGCUGUCGAAGUCCACCAAAACUCACGUCCGACUCCAGGCAGUCCCGCUCGACAGCAGGGACAUUGCUGGGUGGAAGCAGGGAUCUCCCCAGCACUGGAGAACGGAUGUGUGAAGCCGGAAGUACCACAGCCUAUGGAGGGGAACUAGUGAUGUCAGUGGUGGCUCUGGAGACAGCGAGAACCGGCUACUGACAAAGACUGUGCCGUGACUUUGCUUGUGGGAAAUGCUCUCCAACAGGGACAAGCGCAAGCAGGAAAGACAACAAGGCACAGUACCUCAGGGCAAGCUCUAGAAAGUGGGACUGGCUAUGGCAGAAGCAGCAGGUCUCCAUUUCCGUAGAGACUGGCUACAGUGGAAGUGGAUGGUCUACUACGUUACUGUAGAGACUGAAGAGAACGCCCAAAGUAUCCAACGACAAGGAGGUGGGAAAGCGGCUCUCCUUGUUAUCCAGGGACUCCCGGUGGCUGGUAAAGGGAGGCCUGUGGUCCCCUGGGGCUCUGUGUGCGUCUGCACGGGGUCACUAUGCAUCACGACCUUCUUCCCAUGGUCACUCAGGGUAGAGAAGACAGUAGAGCCCGAGGCAGCCGGCCCAGACGAAAGCCGGGCUUCACCAGGAACCUGUGCGUCUUUGCUCACACUCUCUGCACCUCAGUCUCUUCAUCUGUGUACGGAGAGGAUGUGAGACACGCUGUAUGACUGAUGACUGCAGGCCCUGGUGACCCUGGCCUGCCUGAGUGAUGCCCAUCACCAGCCACACUGCACCUCGGCCGGCCCAUGAGUCACUGGGAUAUGAAGGUGACCCAGUGACUUCUGAGGCUCCAACAGAGAAACACGGAGUGUCUCCCUGCUCUUGCUCUGGGCCACCCACGCCUGUGACAUGGUGCACCCUGAUCUCCCUCUGCCCCACCGCCCUGUCCCACCCCUCACCCCGCCACCCCACCAUCCCAGGCACAGGCCCCCAACAGCACACCCCAGCGGAGCAGAAAGAACCAGGUGCCAGGGCUGAAGUCCAGGCUCACCCGACUCUCAGUUUAAUUUCCCUCCUCCAUUAUAACUUCUUGCUUGCUUGUCUCCCCAGAUGGCUGGAGGUGGGUGAAGGCUGUAACAGGUGGUACGCUAAUGAGGUCACUGACUAUAUUGAAGCCUGUCUCCAGGAACUGACACCAGCUGGGAGGCAGAUACAAAUAUGAAGAGCACCUGAGAGCUACAGCCCUAGUUACAGGUCAAGGAUUUGAUCUGGGGUCACCUAGCAGGCUCAGAGCACGAAGGUGUCUGCUGCAAACCUGACAGCCCGAGUUCAAUCCCUGGGACCCACACAGGCUGACGAGAACUGACUCCCUGAGUUCAAUCCCCGGGACCCACACGGGGCUGGCGAGAACUGACUCCCUGAGUUCAAUCCCCGGGACCCACACAGGCUGACGAGAACUGACUCCCUGAGUUCAAUCCCCGGGACCCACACAGGCUGACGAGAACUGACCCAGCAGGCCGGGACCCCCGCAGCCUGGCCUCUGCGCUCACACACAUAUAUGCAGAAAUACAAAAAUGUAAAUCAAAAAUUGUCUUUAUAUUAAAAACCCUGUGUGGCCAGUGCCUUGUCCAUCAUCCGAGGGACAGAACAGGAGGCAGUGGCCCUGGAACAGCAGUAUCCAGUCUUUGCAAAGAUCCAGAAAUCAGCACGAGACUCACAGAGAGAUUUCUGUCAUCUGUUCCAUCUGCAGAACCUGACCGCCGCUAGGCCAGGGCAAUCCACGAAGGGAAAGGGCAGAAACGGUGCCUAAUUUACGACUUUAGAAACCCCCCCACCCCACCCCAUUCUAAGGUUGUGACUUCUCGUUGA